This 253-nucleotide ribosomal RNA is filed under the name uncultured bacterium. RNAcentral describes it as "partial 16S ribosomal RNA". It matches the Rfam family "Bacterial small subunit ribosomal RNA", at positions 524 to 776 of the family's 1533-position model. The record is from RNAcentral.
UACGUAGGGGGCAAGCGUUGUCCGGAUUUAUUGGGCGUAAAGAGCGUGUAGGCGGCUAGGUAGGUCCGUUGUGAAAACUCGAGGCUCAACCUCGAGACGCCGGUGGAAACCAUCUAGCUAGAGUCCGGAAGAGGAGAGUGGAAUUCCUGGUGUAGCGGUGAAAUGCGCAGAUAUCAGGAAGAACACCCGUGGCGAAGGCGGCUCUCUGGUACGUGACUGACGCUGAGACGCGAAAGCGUGGGGUGCGAACAGG